UGGCUCAGGAUGAACGCUGGCGGCGUGCCUAACACAUGCAAGUCGAACGGGUUAAGGGAAAUUUCGGAUGGAACUUAACUAGUGGCGGACGGGUGAGUAACGCGUGGAUAACCUGCCUCACACUGGGGGAUAGCAGCUGGAAACGGCUGGUAAUACCGCAUAAGACCACAGCACCGCAUGGUGCAGGGGUAAAAGAUUUAUCGGUGUGAGAUGGAUCCGCGUCUGAUUAGCCAGUUGGCGGGUAACGGCCCACCAAAGCGACGAUCAGUAGCCGGCCUGAGAGGGUGAACGGCCACAUUGGGACUGAGACACGGCCCAAACUCCUACGGGAGGCAGCAGUGGGGAAUAUUGCACAAUGGGCGCAAGCCUGAUGCAGCAAACCGCCGCGUGAGUGAAGAAGUAUUUCGGUAUGUAAAGCUCUAUCGGCAGGGAAGAAAGGCCCGAAAGGGAGAUGACGGUACCUGACUAAGAAGCCCCGGCUAACUACGUGCCAGCCGCCGC
This 501-nucleotide ribosomal RNA is filed under the name uncultured bacterium. Its description in RNAcentral is "bacterial SSU rRNA". It matches the Rfam family "Bacterial small subunit ribosomal RNA", at positions 20 to 518 of the family's 1533-position model. The record is from RNAcentral.